CGGACGACGCUGGCGGCGUGGAUUAGGCAUGCAAGUCGGACGGUAGAGCUUUAUCGUAAGAUAGAGUUUGAGAGUGGCGAACGGGUGAGUAACACGUAGGAAUCUACCCUUAAGACGGGGACAACCCAGGGAAACUUGGGCUAAUACCGGAUGAGAGUGCGAGAGAUUGCAUUUAAAAGGAUGGCGAAAGUUGUCGCUUAGGGAUGAGCCUGCGGUCUAUUAGUUAGUUGGUGAGGUAAGAGCUCACCAAGGCGAUGAUAGAUAGGCGGCCUUAACGGGUGGUCGCCCACACUGGGAUUGAGAUACGGCCCAGACUCCUACGAGAGGCAGCAGUGGGGAAUUUUGGACAAUGGGCGCAAGCCUGACCCAGCCAUGCCGCGUGAAGGAAGACGGCCUUAUGGGUUGUAAACUUCUUUACUACGCGAAUAGAGGUUAGUACGAGAUACUAAUAGGAAGGUAGUGUAGUAAAAAGCACCGGCUAACUCCGUG
This 489-nucleotide ribosomal RNA is filed under the name uncultured bacterium. RNAcentral's name for it is "bacterial SSU rRNA". It matches the Rfam family "Bacterial small subunit ribosomal RNA", at positions 33 to 507 of the family's 1533-position model. The record is from RNAcentral.